AUUGCCCUAGUAACGGCGAGUGAAGCGGCAACAGCUCAAAUUUGAAAUCUGGCCCUAGCGGUCCGAGUUGUAAUUUGUAGAGGAUGCUUUUGGUGAGGUGCCUUCCGAGUUCCCUGGAACGGGACGCCAGAGAGGGUGAGAGCCCCGUACGGUUGGACGCCAAACCUCUGUAUAGCUCCUUCGACGAGUCGAGUAGUUUGGGAAUGCUGCUCUAAAUGGGAGGUAAAUUUCUUCUAAAGCUAAAUACCGGCCAGAGACCGAUAGCGCACAAGUAGAGUGAUCGAAAGAUGAAAAGCACUUUGAAAAGAGGGUUAAAUAGCACGUGAAAUUGUUGAAAGGGAAGCGUUUGCGACCAGACUUUUUCCAGGCGGAUCAUCCGGCGUUCUCGCCGGUGCACUCCGCCUGGUGGAGGCCAGCAUCGGUUUCCUUAGGGGGAUAAAGGCCUGGGGAACGUAGCUCCUUCGGGAGUGUUAUAGCCCCUGGCGUAAUACCCCUCGGGGGACCGAGGAACGCGCUCUGCAAGGAUGCUGGCGUAAUGGUCGUCAACGACCCGUCUUGAAACACGGACCAAGGAGUCGAACAUUUGUGCGAGUGUUUGGGUGUCAAACCCUCACGCGUAAUGAAAGUGAACGGAGGUGAGAGCCCUUACGGGUGCAUCAUCGACCGAUCCUGAUGUCUUCGGAUGGAUUUGAGUAAGAGCAUAACUGUUCGGACCCGAAAGAUGGUGAACUAUGCGUGGAUAGGGUGAAGCCAGAGGAAACUCUGGUGGAGGCUCGCAGCGGUUCUGACGUGCAAAUCGAUCGUCAAAUCUGCGCAUGGGGGCGAAAGACUUAUCGAACCAUCUAGUAGCUGGUUACCGCCGAAGUUUCCCUCACGAUAGCAGUGUUGUCUUCAGUUUUAUGAGGUAAAGCGAAUGAUUAGGGACUCGGGGGCGCUAUAUUGCCUUCAUCCAUUCUCAAACUUUAAAUAUGUAAGAAGCCCUUGUUACUUAGUUGAACGUGGGCAUUCGAAUGUACCAACACUAGUGGGCCAUUUUUGGUAAGCAGAACUGGCGAUGCGGGAUGAACCGAACGCGGGGUUAAGGUGCCAGAGUGGACGCUCAUCAGACACCACAAAAGGUGUUAGUACAUCUUGACAGCAGGACGGUGGCCAUGGAAGUCGGAAUCCGCUAAGGACUGUGUAACAACUCACCUGCCGAAUGUACUAGCCCUGAAAAUGGAUGGCGCUCAAGCGUCUCACCCAUACCUCGCCCUUAGGGUAGAAACGAUGCCCUAAGGGAGUAGGCGGCCGUGGAGGUUAGUGACGAAGCCUAGGG
This 1315-nucleotide ribosomal RNA is filed under the name Daldinia theissenii. Its description in RNAcentral is "LSU rRNA". It matches the Rfam family "Eukaryotic large subunit ribosomal RNA", at positions 74 to 1415 of the family's 3401-position model. The record is from RNAcentral. Lineage: Eukaryota; Fungi; Ascomycota; Sordariomycetes; Xylariales; Hypoxylaceae.